Molecule: ribosomal RNA, 245 nt
Filed under: uncultured bacterium
Lineage: Bacteria
Description: partial 16S ribosomal RNA
Rfam family: Bacterial small subunit ribosomal RNA
Source: RNAcentral
GAUCAUGGCUCAGGAUGAACGCUAGCUACAGGCUUAACACAUGCAAGUCGAGGGGCAUCAGGAAGAAAGCUUGCUUUCUUUGCUGGCGGCCGGCGCACGGGUGAGUAACAUGUAUCCAACCUGCCCUUUACUCGGGGAUAGCCUUUCGAAAGAAAGAUUAAUACCCGAUGGCAUAAUGAUUCCGCAUGGUUUCAUUAUUAAAGGAUUCCGGUAAAGGAUGGGGAUGCGUUCCAUUAGGUUGUUGG